AUAAAAAGUUAUAUGUACUGAAAGAUAGAAUAUUAUAUUUAAAAGAAAAAACACAUAUUGUUGGUAUACUUAAUGUAAAUUACGAUUCUUUUUCUGAUGGUGGUUUGUUUGUGGAACCCGAAAAAGCAGUUUUUAGAUUAUUUGAAAUGUUUAGUCAAGGAGCGGAUGUGAUUGAUAUAGGUGGUCUUUCUUCUGCUCCACAUGUUACCCCUAAUCCAAAUGUGAGUGAAAGGGAUUUAAUUAUGCCUGUUUUGCGGUUGUUUCAAAAAGAGUGGAAUAAACGACUAAACAGUUUUGAAAAAGAAAAAAAUGUACCAAAGGGUGUAACAAAAGAGUGUACUACUACUACUACUACUACUGCUACUACCGCCACUUCCCCUAUGGACAAACCAAUAAUAAGUUUAGACACAAUGGAGUAUGAAAUUUUUAAAGAAUGUAUAGAUAACGACCUAGUUGACGUAUUGAAUGACAUAAGUGCAUGUACACACAACCCAGAAAUCAUAAAAUUAUUAAAAAAAAAAAAUAAAUAUUAUAGUGUCAUUUUAAUGCAUAAAAGAGGAAAUAGCCAUACCAUGGAUACAUUAACACAAUAUAAUGAUUUAGUAAAUGAUAUAAAAUCAUAUUUAUUAGAUCGAUUAAAUUUUGCUGUUUUAAAUGGGGUACCACGUUAUCGUAUUAUGUUGGAUAUAGGUUUAGGAUUCGCAAAAAAACAUUAUCAGUCAAUUGAAUUAUUAAAAAAUAUUCACAUUUAUGAUGAUUAUCCUUUAUUUAUUGGUUAUUCAAGAAAAAGAUUCAUUUCAUAUUGUGUUGAUACAGGGGUAGUUACGAGUAAACAACAAAACGCCCCAGAAAAAAAUAAUAGUUCUAACCAAAUGUUAACAACUAAUCAAUUUACUGUAAACAACUUACGUAUGGAUAAGGAUCAGGACACGAUUUAUAAAAACAUAUGUGGUGGAUUAGCUAUUGCUUCGUACUGCUUUCAAAAAAAUGUAGAUUUAAUAAGAGUUCAUGAUGUUAUAGAAACUAAAGCUGUAUUAAACGUAUUGGAUGCUUUAAGAAAAAUACACUAAUUUUAAAAAUAUAUAAAAUGCAUAAUAUAAAUUUAGUUUAAAAAAAAAAAAAAAAAAAAAAACAUUCAUUUUAAUUUUUUAGUUAAUUUAUUGAAAUUUUUUACAUUUUAUAAUAUAUUAAUUUAUUACAAUUUUUUUUCUUUUAUAAGCACAUGAAUAUGUGUUUGUAAACAUGUACAUCAAUUUUUUAUUUUUUUGCCUUAUUCUAAAAUGGUAAAACAUUGUAUGAUUAUCAUUCAAGCAGUAUGUACCAAAAAUUUUGAAAAGGCACACACAAACAUGUAUAUAUAUUAUGUACGUAUGUAUGUAUGUAUGUAAAUAUAUAUAAGACUAAUAAAGAGUUGUAUGUGUUAUAUCCA
RNAcentral lists this long non-coding RNA (1429 nucleotides) under Piliocolobus tephrosceles (Ugandan red Colobus). Its description in RNAcentral is "lncRNA (ENSPTEG00000001426.1)". The record is from RNAcentral. Lineage: Eukaryota; Metazoa; Chordata; Mammalia; Primates; Cercopithecidae.